CCUCGACCGAGAUGAUCAGAGAGGUGCAGGGCGCCGCGCGCUUCGGGCCGGUGUGGCUAGCCAGCUUUGGGACAGUGCGCACCGUGUACGUGGCUGCCCCUGCACUCUUCGAGGAGCUGCUGCGACAGGAGGGACCCCGGCCCGAGCGCUGCAGCUUCUCGCCCUGGACGGAGCACCGCCGCUGCCGCCAGCGGGCUUGCGGACUGCUCACUGCGGAAGGCGAAGAAUGGCAAAGGCUCCGCAG
Molecule: small RNA, 244 nt
Filed under: Pongo abelii (Sumatran orangutan)
Lineage: Eukaryota; Metazoa; Chordata; Mammalia; Primates; Hominidae
Description: processed transcript
Source: RNAcentral